This 489-nucleotide ribosomal RNA is filed under the name Triticum aestivum (bread wheat). RNAcentral describes it as "partial small subunit ribosomal RNA". The record is from RNAcentral. Lineage: Eukaryota; Viridiplantae; Streptophyta; Magnoliopsida; Poales; Poaceae.
CCGGCGACGUUCCAGGCACUCAUGAACGAUCUGCUGCGGCCGUACUUGCGCCGCUUUGUUCUCGUCUUCUUCGACGACAUCCUCAUAUUCAGCGAGACGUGGGCCGAUCAUCUUCGCCAUGUGCGCACCAUCUUUACCGUACUGCACCAGCACCGGCUCUUCGUCAAGAGGUCCAAAUGCUCGUUCGCCGUCGAGUCGAUCUCCUACCUGGGUCACACCAUCUCCGCGGCCGGCGUGGCCAUGGAUCCGGAAAAAGUGCAGGCCGUGGCCGACUGGCCGCAGCCUCGCUCGGCGCGCGUGGUUCGGGGGUUUCUCGGUCUUGCGGGGUACUACCGCAAGUUUGUCAAGGAGUUUGGCGUGGUCGCCGCGCCCCUGACGGCCCUGCUUCGCAAGGACGGCUUCUCAUGGUCGCCGGAGGCGGCAGCAGCUUUUUUCGCCCUUAAGACGGCGGCCACCACGGCUCCCGUGCUCGCGUUGCCAGAUUUCACA